Molecule: ribosomal RNA, 253 nt
Filed under: uncultured bacterium
Lineage: Bacteria
Description: partial 16S ribosomal RNA
Rfam family: Bacterial small subunit ribosomal RNA
Source: RNAcentral
UACGUAGGGGGCGAGCGUUGUCCGGAAUCAUUGGGCGUAAAGCGCGUGUAGGCGGCUCGGUAAGUCCGGUGUGAAACCUUGGGGCUCAACCCCAAGCCUGCACUGGAUACUGUCGAGCUUGAGUCCGGGAGGGGAGAGCGGAAUUCCUGGUGUAGCGGUGAAAUGCGCAGAUAUCAGGAGGAACACCGGUGGCGAAGGCGGGUCUCUGGGCAACAACUGACGCUGAGGAGCGAAAGCGUGGGGAGCGAACAGG